This 496-nucleotide ribosomal RNA is filed under the name uncultured bacterium. RNAcentral's name for it is "partial 16S ribosomal RNA". It matches the Rfam family "Bacterial small subunit ribosomal RNA", at positions 29 to 507 of the family's 1533-position model. The record is from RNAcentral.
AUGAACGCUGGCGGCGUGCCUAAUACAUGCAAGUCGAGCGAACAGACGAGGAGCUUGCUCCUCUGACGUUAGCGGCGGACGGGUGAGUAACACGUGGAUAACCUACCUAUAAGACUGGGAUAACUUCGGGAAACCGGAGCUAAUACCGGAUAAUAUAUUGAACCGCCUGGUUUAAUAGUGAAAGACGGUUUUGCUGUCACUUAUAGAUGGAUCCGCGCCGCAUUAGCUAGUUGGUAAGGUAACGGCUUACCAAGGCAACGAUGCGUAGCCGACCUGAGAGGGUGAUCGGCCACACUGGAACUGAGACACGGUCCAGACUCCUACGGGAGGCAGCAGUAGGGAAUCUUCCGCAAUGGGCGAAAGCCUGACGGAGCAACGCCGCGUGAGUGAUGAAGGUCUUCGGAUCGUAAAACUCUGUUAUUAGGGAAGAACAAAUGUGUAAGUAACUAUGCACGUCUUGACGGUACCUAAUCAGAAAGCCACGGCUAACUACGUG